GGAGUCGGCUACAUCACAUCUUGAAGUGAAGCUACAGUUAGCAGGGGAUUAAGGAAAUCAAUGCUCAUCCCACCUCACAACUAUUACUGCUACGUUGAUUCUAUGAAUGAGGUGAACCACAGAACAGAUGGAUGGAAAAAGAGUGCAUCCUUUGGUAUGAAAGCAUCCUGUACUAUGGUAAACUGGAUGCUCAUGGGUCGUCCGUAUUCCUGAGGCUUAUGUUCUGGUGGCGGCAUUACCCAAAAUCCACUCGUGGUUGUCCCCUGGCCUCCACCUCGUACAUAAGACCAUAGAACUUGCCUAGUUAUGAAUCAUGAAACAAUGGAGCUGUUAACUACAAGUGUCAGUACAAGGCAACAGCCACCUUCAAAUCUCUAGAAGUCAACUGCCUGUAUAUCCACAUCUGACAGUGUAGUCAAGUGCCAGUCUUUAUUGUACUCUUGUUACUUGACUAUGAUGCCUAUUAAAAACUGAUAGUUCAAAACAUACUCUCUCACUAAAGUCAAUACUGCAACAUCAGUUGCCACCCACUAGCUGUACAUACAGUAUGCUGGACCCCUUCUGAAGCUUAGUACACUCCAUCAGUGCACUACCCAGUAUUAUUAUUAUUAUAAUCAAGGGGGAAGCGCUAAACCCGGAAGAUUAUACAGCGCCUGGGGGGGGGGGAUGUGGAAGGCAUUCAGGCUUAAUUCAGGGAACUGGAGCACAGAUCCAAUUCCCUAAAUCAAGAGCCCCUCACCAGCACUACCCAGUAGCUCUGAUCAUUACUAUUACACCCUCAACACCUCUAGUCUUCAAGAUCUUAUCCUGUUUAUUUAAUCAUAACCAAGCUUUAAACCCUUAAGGGUCAUACUAUCCUUUGUUUAGCCUUUAUCAUUAAUACUUGUAAUCCUAUUUGUAACAAUAAUUAAAAAGACAUAAGAAGUUCAUGUUUUACUUUAUAUUAUUAUAAUAGUCUAUUAAUAAA
Cherax quadricarinatus is the source of this 967-nucleotide long non-coding RNA. RefSeq lists it as uncharacterized. NCBI's taxonomy places the organism in Eukaryota, Metazoa, Arthropoda, Malacostraca, Decapoda, Parastacidae. The record is from RefSeq and is a predicted model, not a curated record.